Molecule: ribosomal RNA, 254 nt
Filed under: uncultured bacterium
Lineage: Bacteria
Description: partial 16S ribosomal RNA
Rfam family: Bacterial small subunit ribosomal RNA
Source: RNAcentral
UACGGGGGGAGCAAGCGUUGUUCGGAUUUACUGGGCGUAAAGGGCGCGUAGGCGGUCAGCACAAGUCAGUUGUGAAAUCUCCGGGCUUAACUCGGAAAGGUCAACUGAUACUGUGCGACUAGAGUGCAGAAGGGGCAACUGGAAUUCUCGGUGUAGCGGUGAAAUGCGUAGAUAUCGAGAGGAACACCUGCGGCGAAAGCGGCUCUCUGGGACGGUACUGACGCUGAGACGCGAAAGCGUGGGGAGCGAACAGG